UAUGGUUCAGUGGUAGAGCCCUUGCAUAGCAUGCAAGCAUUCUGGGUUUGACCCCCAGUA
This 60-nucleotide transfer RNA is filed under the name Ictidomys tridecemlineatus (thirteen-lined ground squirrel). Its description in RNAcentral is "Spermophilus tridecemlineatus (thirteen-lined ground squirrel) tRNA". It matches the Rfam family "tRNA", at positions 6 to 65 of the family's 71-position model. Rfam says of the family: Transfer RNA (tRNA) molecules are approximately 80 nucleotides in length. The record is from Rfam by way of RNAcentral. Lineage: Eukaryota; Metazoa; Chordata; Mammalia; Rodentia; Sciuridae.